UACGUAGGUGGCAAGCGUUGUCCGGAUUUAUUGAGCGUAAAGCGAGUGCAGGCGGAAUGUCAAGUCAGCGGUAAAAUUUCGGGGCUCAACCUCGUCGUGCCGUUGAAACUGACACCCUUGAGUGAGUGAGAAGUAAGCGGAAUGCGUGGUGUAGCGGUGAAAUGCAUAGAUAUCACGCAGAACGCCGAUUGCGAAGGCAGCUUACCGGCGCUCAACUGACGCUGAGGCUCGAAAGCAUGGGUAGCGAACAGG
Molecule: ribosomal RNA, 252 nt
Filed under: uncultured Bacteroidales bacterium
Lineage: Bacteria; Pseudomonadati; Bacteroidota; Bacteroidia; Bacteroidales
Description: partial 16S ribosomal RNA
Rfam family: Bacterial small subunit ribosomal RNA
Source: RNAcentral